AUCCGGCGGACGAGUUCCAAAUAGGACGAAACGCGCGUCUUGGAU
This 45-nucleotide non-coding RNA is filed under the name Schistosoma haematobium. Lineage: Eukaryota; Metazoa; Platyhelminthes; Trematoda; Strigeidida; Schistosomatidae. The record is from RNAcentral.